This is a non-coding RNA of Vicia faba (fava bean), 303 nucleotides long. NCBI's taxonomy places the organism in Eukaryota, Viridiplantae, Streptophyta, Magnoliopsida, Fabales, Fabaceae. The record is from the annotation of a GenBank genome assembly.
AAAUGUUUCACCUUCCAACUCCUUCCAAAUUCAAUAAUCAUUUCUCCCUCAUUACUAUGCAACUGUUGCCUCUCUCUUCCUCUUCUUUCUUCUAUCUUCGCCUCGCUUCAUCUUCUUAUUUCUUCUUAUAUUCAAUUUCUUCCUUUCAAUAUUUCAAUUCUUCAAUUUUUCAAUUGUUGUUGUUUUGAGAGAGACUCAACCGGUAAUUACCAUUUUCUGCUUACUUUCCCUUUCACUCCCACCGUACCCUCUGCGAACAUGACUUCCAUCACCUUCGUCGAGCUCAACUAUCUCGUGUUUCAC